Molecule: transfer RNA, 72 nt
Filed under: Ictidomys tridecemlineatus (thirteen-lined ground squirrel)
Lineage: Eukaryota; Metazoa; Chordata; Mammalia; Rodentia; Sciuridae
Description: Spermophilus tridecemlineatus (thirteen-lined ground squirrel) tRNA
Rfam family: tRNA
About the family: Transfer RNA (tRNA) molecules are approximately 80 nucleotides in length. Their secondary structure includes four short double-helical elements and three loops (D, anti-codon, and T loops). Further hydrogen bonds mediate the characteristic L-shaped molecular structure. tRNAs have two regions of fundamental functional importance: the anti-codon, which is responsible for specific mRNA codon recognition, and the 3' end, to which the tRNAs corresponding amino acid is attached (by aminoacyl-tRNA synthetases). tRNAs cope with the degeneracy of the genetic code in two manners: having more than one tRNA (with a specific anti-codon) for a particular amino acid; and 'wobble' base-pairing, i.e. permitting non-standard base-pairing at the 3rd anti-codon position.
Source: Rfam by way of RNAcentral
GGGGAUAUAGCUCAGUGGUAGAGCACUUGCCUAGCAUGCAUAAGGCCCUGGGGUCAAUCCCCAGUACUGCAA